AUUGAACGCUGGCGGCAUGCCUUACACAUGCAAGUCGAACGGUAGAGGGGCAACCCUCGAGAGUGGCGAACGGGUGAGUAAUGCAUCGGAACGUGCCCAGUAGUGGGGGAUAGCCCGGCGAAGGCCGGAUUAAUACCGCAUACGACCUACGGGUGAAAGGGGGGGAUCGCAAGACCUCUCGCUAUUGGAGCGGCCGAUGUCAGAUUAGGUAGUUGGUGGGGUAAAAGCCUACCAAGCCGACGAUCUGUAGCUGGUCUGAGAGGACGACCAGCCACACUGGGACUGAGACACGGCCCAGACUCCUACGGGAGGCAGCAGUGGGGAAUUUUGGACAAUGGACGAAAGUCUGAUCCAGCCAUGCCGCGUGCAGGAAGAAGGCCUUCGGGUUGUAAACUGCUUUUGUCAGGGAAGAAAUCCCCUGGGUUAAUACCUCGGGGGGAUGACGGUACCUGAAGAAUAAGCACCGGCUAACUACGUGCCAGCCGCCGCCGUAA
Molecule: ribosomal RNA, 494 nt
Filed under: uncultured bacterium
Lineage: Bacteria
Description: partial 16S ribosomal RNA
Rfam family: Bacterial small subunit ribosomal RNA
Source: RNAcentral